This is a non-coding RNA of Camelina sativa (false flax), 223 nucleotides long. Lineage: Eukaryota; Viridiplantae; Streptophyta; Magnoliopsida; Brassicales; Brassicaceae. The record is from RefSeq and is a predicted model, not a curated record.
CCUGAUGAAAUGGUUUUCAAAAUGUAGCCACCGGCGUAUUGUCCAGUACAAAACGGCUUAUUACUCAUUUUAUCUCCCUGUUGCUUGUGCACUGCUUAUGGCGGGUGAAAAUUUGGAAAAGCAUGUUGAUGUGAAGAAUGUUCUUGUUGACAUGGGAAUCUACUUUCAAGUGCAGGAUGAUUAUCUGGAUUGUUUCGCUGAUCCGGAGACGCUUGGCAAGGUU